UACCCGCAGCACAAGUGGUGGUCAUUAUUAUUGGGCCUAAAGCGUCCGUAGCUGGCCUGUUAGAUGCCUGGGUAAAUCGAUGCGCUCAACGUAUCGAACUCCGGGUAGACCGGCAGGCUUGGGACCGGGAGAGGCGUGAGCUACUCGGGGGGUAGGGGUAAAAUCCUGUAAUCCUCCGGGGAGGACCAGUGGCGAAGGCGUCACGCUAGAACGGCUCCGACAGUGAGGGACGAAGCCCAGGGGCGCAAACCGG
This 253-nucleotide ribosomal RNA is filed under the name uncultured bacterium. RNAcentral's name for it is "partial 16S ribosomal RNA". It matches the Rfam family "Archaeal small subunit ribosomal RNA", at positions 474 to 727 of the family's 1478-position model. The record is from RNAcentral.